CGGUGGAUGAUGUGGAUUAAUUCGAUGCAACGCGAAAACCUUACCUACCCUUGACAUGUCUGGAACCUUGGUGAGAGCCGAGGGUGCCUUCGGGAGCCAGAACACAGGUGCUGCAUGGGCUGUCGUCAGCUCGUGUCGUGAGAUGUUGGGUUAAGUCCCGCAACGAGCGCAACCCUUGUCAUUAGUUGCCAUCAUUUAGUUGGGCACUCUAAUGAGACUGCCGGUGACAAACCGGAGGAAGGUGGGAUGACGUCAAGUCCUCAUGGCCCUUAUGGGUAGGGCUUCACACGUCAUACAAUGGUCGGUACAGAGGGUUGCCAAGCCGCGAGGCGGAGCCAAUCCAGCAAAACUUCCCUCAGUUCAGAUUGCAGGCUGCAACUCGCCUGCAUGAAGUUGGAGUUGCUAGUAAACGCAGGUCAGCCAUACUGCGUUGAAUACGUUCCCGGGGGCUU
This 452-nucleotide ribosomal RNA is filed under the name uncultured Thauera sp. RNAcentral's name for it is "bacterial SSU rRNA". It matches the Rfam family "Bacterial small subunit ribosomal RNA", at positions 930 to 1378 of the family's 1533-position model. Lineage: Bacteria; Pseudomonadati; Pseudomonadota; Betaproteobacteria; Rhodocyclales; Zoogloeaceae. The record is from RNAcentral.